GUGUCAGCAGCCGCGGUAAGACAGAGGGUGCAAACGUUGUUCGGAAUUACUGGGCGUAAAGCGCGUGUAGGCGGCUUGGCAAGUCGGGUGUGAAAGCCCUGGGCUCAACCCAGGAAGUGCACUCGAAACUGCCUCGCUCGAGUAUCGGAGAGGAAAGCGGAAUUCUCGGUGUAGAGGUGAAAUUCGUAGAUAUCGAGAGGAACACCGGUGGCGAAGGCGGCUUUCUGGACGAUUACUGACGCUGAGACGCGAAAGCGUGGGGAGCAAACAGGAUUAGAUACCCUGGUAGUCCACGCCGUAAACGAUGGGUGCUAGGUGUCGCGGGCUUUGACUCCCGCGGUGCCGAAGCUAACGCAUUAAGCACCCCGCCUGGGGAGUACGGCCGCAAGGCUAAA
RNAcentral lists this ribosomal RNA (395 nucleotides) under uncultured bacterium. RNAcentral's name for it is "bacterial SSU rRNA". It matches the Rfam family "Bacterial small subunit ribosomal RNA", at positions 505 to 898 of the family's 1533-position model. The record is from RNAcentral.